Molecule: long non-coding RNA, 4418 nt
Filed under: Salvia miltiorrhiza (redroot sage)
Lineage: Eukaryota; Viridiplantae; Streptophyta; Magnoliopsida; Lamiales; Lamiaceae
Description: long non-coding RNA (SMIL_LNC004684)
Source: RNAcentral
GUCGCCUAUCUGUUGGCCCCGCCGUUCUAAGCAUCACAUUCCCCCUCAUCUCUCAAUUCCACGCUCGAGGGGAAAAAAAGGGGCGAGCCCUAAUCGUCUCUUUCUCUGCUUGAAUCCGGCGAUGUCACCGUUCCAAGGUGGAGACGUUCAGUUCCGUCUCUAAGCCUCACGUUCUUAGGAGUAAUGAUUCUUAAUUUGGUGAGGUUUUUUAAUUUGCAAGAUUUGUUUGUAAGAUAUAAACCAUUUUAUUUGGUGAGAUUUUCAAUUUCUGAAAUUGAAUUGCUGAUUUUGAAUGUUCAAUUGUGGUUGAGCUUUGAAUUGAAAAAAAUGCAGAUUUUUUUCUUUUUUUCUUUCGUAAUGGUAUUCUUUUUGGUCUUGAAUUUUUUUUCCUGAUUUUGAAUGUUCAAAAUUUCUUUGAAUGCAGAUUUUCGAAUGUUCAAUUUCUUUCAUUUUGAAUGCAGAUUUUGAAUGUUCAAUUUCUUUCUGAUUUUCAAUUGUGGUUGUUCAUUUUUUUUUCCUGAUUUUGAAUGUUCAAUUUCUUUCAUUUUUUCAACGUUCAAUUGUGGUUGAAACCUUUUGCUAUUUGUCUAAUUAGAACUAAAUUGUGGUUGAAACCUUUUGCUAUUUGUCUAAUUUGAACUAUGUUCUUGUUAGCUUUAAUUCUCCUCUAUUUAAUGUUAAACUUGUUGUCAACUUUUAAAGUAUCUGAAGUUUUUUUUACUAUUAGUUACCGAUUGAGCUUAUUUGUGGUUAGGCUUAAUUCUCCUAGUCAGAACUCCGUCUGCACUUCUCUGGAUCUCUGCUCUGAUCUGGAGGCCAGCUCAACUCUGGCGUCUUCUCUGCUCAGCUCAGAAGGUUGUUCUGCUCUGAAGGUCGGCCCUGCUGUGCCCUCUGGAGGUCGCCUCUACGCUGCUCUGGAGGUCCUCUGGAGCCCUGCUCUGCUCUGGAAAACUCCUCUGCUCUGGAGGACAGCUCUGCUCUGGAGGACUUCUCUGCCCUGGAAGUCUGCUCUGCUCUGGAGGACAGCUCUGCUCGGGAGGUGAUGUUUCUCCGCUGCUCUGCUCUGGAGAUUACACGCUGAUGUUGGACCGCUUUGGCUCUGGAGAACGGGCGUUGGCUGCUCUGGAGUUUCCUGCUCUGACGUUGCCUGCUCUGUCACUUUUGUGCUCUGGCUCGGCUGCUCUGCCCUGCUGCACAGCUAUGCCGGCUCUGGCUCUGGUCUGCCUGCUCUGCUCUGGAGCUUGCUCUUCUGUUUAUUUCUCUGGCUCCGCUGCUCUGCUCUGGAGCUCCCUAGUUUUGGCGGUGUCUGCUUUGGAGUCGACUGCUCUGGCGUUGUCUGCAAGAGUGCGCUUCUGCUCUGACUCCGCUUCUCUGGUGUUGGCUGCUCUGGGACUUUUGUACGCGGGCUCGGCUGCUCUGCUCUGCUGCACCACUCGGUGCAGCCUUCCCGCAGGAGUAGCUUGCUCUUCCUUUGUUGUUUUGGCUUUUGCGUUGUUUGCUCUCUCUUUUGGUUUGGAUUUUGUUGUUUUUUCCGUUUUUUUGGGCUUUCCUUUGAGGCCCCCUCCUUGUUUGCGCCUGUGCUCUCAAGGUUUUUUCAAUCUUCUUUUUUCAAUAAAAUUUUCAUUUCAGCAUCAUUCCCUUUUUAAGAAAAUCUCAUUUGCAAUCAUAGUUCGGUCACAGUUUCUCUUCUUUUGUAGGUUGCCAUAAGGAAUAUUAGAACAGGCGCCAUCAAAUCUUAUGAGAUAAGUAUCAUCAAAGCUAAGUAUUGAUUAUUGUUUUCUCAUAUCUUUGUUUGUUUAUGUUUUUUUCAUAUUUUUCUAGCAAAAAACAUGGUGCAGAUUUUGAGAGUUACAGAUAAGUAUUAGCAAAACUAAGUAUUGAUUAUUGUUUUAUCAUAUGUUUCUGUUUUCUUCGUAUUUCUAGCAAAAAAAUUACUGUUUUGGCAGCUAGGUAGCUUAUCUUAAUGUCUUUUGAUAAACUUAAAUAAAUAUGAUUUUGAAUUAUUUUAGUUUUUUUAAAAUAAAAAAUGUAUAAUUUUAAGUUGUGAUGAUUUACUUUGUUCUGUAUAGUUGAUACUCCCUCCGUCCACCAAUUAAAGCCCUACUUGCCCUUAAAUUUUUGUCCACCAAUUAAAGCCCUAUUGUGCUUUUUGUACCCUUUUACCCUCUCUCUUUACUUUAAAUUACUACCCUUUGUCUAAAAAAUUUAUUUUCCAGUUUUAAGUUUAUUUAUUUAUUUUCUGAAAAUUUUAAUUCCAGUUUAUUUAUUUUCUGAAUUUUUAGUUUAUUUAUUUUCGAAUUUUCAGUUUAUUUAUUUUUCAAUUUUCAGUUUAUUUAUUUAUUUUCUGAAAAUUUUAAACCAGUUGAUGUAUACAUUUAAUAAUUAUGUUUAGCUAUUUUCUGAUUAGAAGUGCAGAAAAUAAGGUAAAAACAAAUAUAAAAUAUGUAGUGUAAGAAACGCAAUAAAUAAGAAGAAAAAAAAGAAAUAAAAUAGAAAUAAUACUAAAGAAGUAAUAAAACAAUAAAGAAAACACAUAAAAUAGGAAGAAAAAAAGCUUAAGAUAUAGAAAAAAAAAUAAAAAAAAGAAUCUAAUGAUGUAGUAAAACAAAAAGAAACACAUAAAAUAGUUAUAUAAAGACAGAGCAAAAAGAUGCAGAAAUACAAAGCAAAAGAUACACAUAAAAUAGGUACAGAAACACAUAAAGAGAGAGAAGAAAUAAAAUGAUGUAAGAUGCUAUUAUAAACCAAAGUAUAGAUACAGAAAGUCAAAAAGAUGCAGAAAUUGAUGCAAGCUUUUAUGAAGAAAUGAAAAAACGAAAGCUAGAAGCUUAGAGAAAAGAAAUUAUAGACAUUCAAGCAAGAAUUUGCCAACAUUAAAGAUAGAAAAGAAGCUUCUUGAAUCUGCUGACAAAAAAUAGAACGUGCAGAUACUGAAUCAAGAAGUUGCCAAAGAAAAGAAGAGGAGCAAAAAAGAAAGUGAGCUGCUGCACACAUAUAAGCAAGAAACUGCUGAAAAAGAAAGAGAGCUGCUGCACACAUUGAAGCAAGAAAAAAAGAAAGAGAAGCAUACAGAGAAAAAUGGAAGCUGCCGAAAACAAAAGAAAAAAGGAAGAGAAGCAUGAAGAGAAAAAUGGAUCUCUUUUUUUACUUUAUACACAUCUCACAAUCAUUUAUCAAAACACAUAUCCCAUAUAACACUACAAAAUUUUAUUACAAAUUAUUAUUAUUAUUAUUAUUAUUAUUAUUAUUAUUAUUAUUAUUAUUAUUAUUAUUAUGUGUGUGUAUGUUUAUAUUUAUUAUAUUUAUUACCUUGGUUAACCAAAAAUGGGCGGCAGUGUUAAGGCAGCAGACAAGGAAUUAAAGCUUAAUCUUGAAAAUGCCUUGGAAAUUCAAAAGUGGGCGGCUAUGGGCGGCUGCACACUUAGAAUUCAUUUAGGCCGUGUUUGAAAACUUGGUUGCGAAAUGGCAAGUUACACAAACUCAAGGAAAUGUAACAAGAGUUGGGCUGGUUAUAUUGUAUUGACUGUGUAUUUGGUAGCAGAUGUUUAAAGGCGUGAAAAUAGAGUGCAGUUGUUUGCUCCGCUGCACUGGAGCUUCGAUCUCUCUGCUCGGGGGAAGCGACUUCUCUGGCAGCGGGGAAGCGAUCCCGCUGGAACCCGAUCCCGCUGUCGUCUCGAUCCCUCUGGCCUGGAGCUCCUUGAUUCCGCUGGCCUGGAAGCUCGGACUCGACUUCUCUGGCAGCGCGGACUCGAUCCCGCUGGCACCCGAUCCCGCUGGCACCCGAUCCCUCUGGCCUGGAGCUCCUUGAUUCCGCUGGCCUGGAAGCUCGGCUCCGCUGCACUGGAGACUCGAUUCCGCUGGCGCUCGUCGACUUCUCUGCUACUUCUUCACAAUUUGGGCUAAACAACUCUCAUCAAUGAAAGCAAGCUACAAGAGGUGAACCGUUGUGGUCUUUGGCCGGAUCAGAGAAAACCGCCCUAAUCUUGGCCGGAUCAGAGAAAUUCAACGGAAAGCAGCGGCGCGAGAUGGUUCCCAGCAAAUCAAAGCGGGUUUGAUUAGGAGUGCGCGAUCACAUGUAUGAUCGGAUGCGGAUUAAGGACUGUGCUGUGUAGAGGAAGAUUUACAAGCAAGCCAUGAGUACAAAACCUCUGUAGUCUGUACGUAUAGGCGAAUUACCAAAUUCUGGUAUCGCCAUUACAUUCAUGCGAAGAGGGGGUAAACUCUAGGGUUUCGAAUUUUAGUUGUCUCCCCCUCUGUAAAAUCAACUGCCACUCCCUCUGCAUAUGGCGAUAAUCAAACUUGUUUCAGCUUCGUAGCGGAAAAUUGAUUGGCUUUCCACUUGAGAUUUUGCGUCUUUGCUCAGAGUAGUUUGUACUAUUGCAUCUGCAUCAGAUAUCUCUACGUUCUAAUUUUGCUUA